This 464-nucleotide ribosomal RNA is filed under the name uncultured bacterium. RNAcentral's name for it is "partial 16S ribosomal RNA". It matches the Rfam family "Bacterial small subunit ribosomal RNA", at positions 339 to 795 of the family's 1533-position model. The record is from RNAcentral.
CUACGGGCGGCAGCAGUGGGGAAUAUUGGACAAUGGGGAAACCCUGAUCCAGCAAUGCCGCGUGUGUGAAGAAGGCCUGCGGGUUGUAAAGCACUUUCGGUUGGGAGGACUGCUUCUAGCACUAAUAUUGUUGGAAGUUGACGUUACCUUCAGAAGAAGCACCGGCUAACUCCGUGCCAGCAGCCGCGGUAAUACGGAGGGUGCAAGCGUUGAUCGGAAUUACUGGGCGUAAAGCGCGCGUAGGCGGCUAGAUCAGUCGGGUGUGAAAGCCCCGGGCUUAACCUGGGAACUGCAUCCGAUACUGUCUAGCUUGAGUACAGGAGAGGAGAGUGGAAUUCCACAUGUAGCGGUGAAAUGCGUAGAUAUAUGGAGGAACACCAAUGGCGAAGGCAGCUCUCUGGCCUGAUACUGACGCUGAGGUGCGAAAGCGUGGGGAGCAAACAGGAUUAGAUACCCCAGUAGUC